This 1568-nucleotide long non-coding RNA is filed under the name Nicotiana tabacum (common tobacco). RNAcentral's name for it is "long non-coding RNA (NTAB_LNC013986)". Lineage: Eukaryota; Viridiplantae; Streptophyta; Magnoliopsida; Solanales; Solanaceae. The record is from RNAcentral.
AGUUGUUGAGAAUCAUUAGCUCUUAUUAACAAGUUAUUUACAACUUUGCAAGUUCUUGCUAUUCCAUCUAUUUACAAGAUUCGGCCCCAGCCCAUCAUUUAUGACUUUGGCACAAUUGUUCCUGAAGUUGAAACAUCAUUUUAACACUUAUUCACGACCAUUCUCAAUCAAAGAAUUCAAAAGUUAAUUUUUAAAGAUAUUAAUUAAUAAAGGACAAUCACCAAUGAACUAAUUUGUCUACUCACCUUAGCUUCAUCAAUCAGUUAAAAUGACACAUAAAGAGAACUCAAUAACAAUCAUUCAAACAAAAAAAAAUCGUUAUCCAAGCUGAGUAGAGAAACUUAAUAUACUAUGACUAUCAGGAAACAACGUUCAAAACAUUUCAUUCAAGCAUUAGAUGAGGAGCUUUUUUUUGCACUUUGUACAUGUGGAUUACAAAUCACAAAAGAAAAGAACUUAUAGAACUUUAUUACAAUCAACACCAAGGCCACGCCCAAUUGAAUUUGCAAGGACAUUCAUAUGAAUUCAUUUUUUAUAACUCUAAGCAUAUCCGAGCUACUUCUUAAUUACAUGAUCCAACCUUUCCUUUUCAACUGCGUGACAUUCAAACAUGAUAGCACAAAAUCCAGAAUGAAGGGACAAUAACAUGCUUUCAAGGAAUUUCCAAACAUAUUGAGAAAGUAGGUCUAGCCAGCUAUAAGUCAAAUUUGCAGACUCUUCAUAUUAAGCAGGCUAUUGACAUAAAUUUAUCAAUCAUAACAUACACUGAAUAAACAAGGCAACCUUUACAUACAAAGACUUCAACGUCAAACCUCAUAACAUACACCAAAUAAUGGUGUUGAGCAACAGAUUUGCAAGCAGAAAAGUAGAAGAAUUACCUCACCAUUCCAGACAUUUUCCAAAUGAUACACAAUAACACAUCUAUUGCACACAUAGGAUGACCGAAAUUAAAAUUUUGGCAGAUGCACUAAAUUAGACAAAAGAAUUAAAAUAUCUGAAUCAUUUAGUGAAAAGCAAUAUAGGGAGGUGUAGAGCUUACCUAAUUGAGCUUAGAUAACAACAGUUAAGAGCCUAAACUAGGCUGAAACAACUACGAUUUGGAGCUCAACCACAAAUUGAAAGGAGAACAACAACUAAAGCAAUGAAUCCAACCAAAUCCACCACGAAUUUCAAACCCAAAAUGGCAGUUUCGACAACGACACGGUCGUUCAAUCCAAAUCUAUUUUUUGAACAAAAUCCGAAAUUGGGAAACAAGGAUAUGGAAAUGUUUCCCUAUAUUGUUUUUUUAUUUCGAAAUGGAAACAGAAACUAGAGCGAAGAACUGAGCUCAAACCCUUUUUUUUUAUGAUUUUUGUAUUUUUGUUCUAGGAAUUGAAAGGAAAAUUCUGACAUUAAUCCAAAACAAAAAAAAUAGAAUCAAGAAGAAAAAAAAUCCUUUCCCCAUAUUUUCGAAUUUCAGUCCCAAAAUCUCCUAAAUUGUCUCCAAAAAUUCCCUAGAAUUUUUCUCAUCCCCCCCGACUGUCCCAAUUUCUUCUAUGGCUUAUUGUGUGUGUGUGUGUGUGUGUGUU